UCAUGUGUCUGCAAGAUGAGCAAUACAGAGAGAGACAUCACAGCUUUACCUCAGCAGGUUGUAUUCCUUAACCUUAAUAGAAAUUCAAUGAUUCUUCGAGAUGGUGAGACAGGAAAGACUAUGUGGCAAGGAGCAGAAGACUUAUCGUUUCCAGGAGUUGAACAUGAAGCUCGAGUGCCCAAGAAAAUCUUAAAAUGUAAAUCUGUGUCCAGAGAAAUAAACUUUGCAUCUGAAGAAGAGAUGGAGAAUUUCAGACUAGAACAGAAAGUCUACUUUAAAGGACAGUGUUUAGAAGAGUGGUCCUUUGAGUUUGGCUUUGUAAUGCCCAAUUCUGUGAACACCUGGCAGUCCAUGAUAGAAGCAGCACCAGAGUCUCAGAUGAUGCCAGCUAAUGUUUUAACUGGCAACGUCAUCAUAGAAACAAAGUUCUACGAUGCUGAACUUCUUGUCAGUACAUCGAGGGUCAGGCUCUUCUAUGUUUGAAAUACAAAAUGUCACUUAUUUGAUUUUCUACCCACCUUCAUUCUCUUUCCAAUUUACAUUUAUUCUCUUCUUGGAAAGAAAAAAACAAACAUUUGUUGGGUGCUAUGGACUUGAACGCAUUCCGGGACUAUGCCCAUGUAACCAAACUCAGAGAUGUGGGCACACCAUGCAGCACAUUGCACAUGACCCUGUCCUCACGUGGAGCAGAAUCCAUUUUAUUCAGCUAUUGACUUCUGCAUUCUCCACUACUAUUUCAGAUUGUUCACAACAGACUGCUAAUCUGCAUGUUUUGGUUUCUCUUGUUUUUUCUUUCUUUUUCAGUAUACUGUUACGUAGAAAAUAAUGUCUCCCUGGAUAGCAAAUGGUUAGGCUGCUGUAAGCUCAGCGUCGAUGAAAUGUGCAGGAGAGUUUGCCCACCCAGGCAUGGAAAAGUUAGUUUAUGAGGUGGAGCAAGUUUCCAUUUUCUUGAGGCGUUAUAAACUAUGCCUUCUGGAGUGUAUUAGUCAGUCACGAUACCUUGGAGUACCAAGUUAUGGUCUGUGGAAAUAAAAUGAUGAUUGGUGUUUUUUUAACAGGUGUUUUUUUUUAAAUGUUUUUAUUUAUUUAAUCCUGGGACGCAGAAGCUAUACAUCAAUAAAUGUCAGCAUUUAUAGGGCAGGAUUUGUUUUCUUUUAACAAAUGUCUGGAUCAUUUGCUUGUUUCUUUUUUAACAUCUAGUUCUUUCUAUUGAUUGCUGGACCAAAUAUAUAGAUUCUAUUGGCAUAAGGCUGCCUAAACUUUGUGAAGCAAAGAAUACAUUGUAUGCCUAGUGAACAAGAUAAACAUAAGAAUCCAGAAAUAUAUUUAAGAUAGUUUUACAAUAGAAUAAUUCAAUGGUUCUUUCAGUGAUUUUAUAGAAUAGAAUCUAAAAAGAAAUGUAAACAGGAGUCCUAUGUAUAUGGUAGGAUAAAGGGGGUUCAAUAAAGAUCUUUUUUUCUGCAUAGUCUCUCUUAACAACUUAAAUGGGCACCGUCAUGAAAUAAAAAAAUUGAUAUGUUGUAGUACUUAAGUACUGCAACAUAUCUCUAAUAUACUUUAAUUUAAAAAAAGUGAUUUUAAACCAGUUUAAAAUCACUUUUAAAUUCGGCCACUAGGGGUCGCCCUCCUAGUGGCCGAAUGCAUUCGGCAGUGACGUCACUACAGAAUUUUGACUCAUUUAAGCCUGGCAAUGAGUCGAAAUUCAGUCACUGCGGUGCUCGCUCCCGCCUGUCAAUCAGACAGGUGGGAGCGAGCGCUUUGAAGGAAAGUUACGUGUUCACCUAUACAGUAUGCCUCCAGUUUCCCCACUACAACUCCCAGCAUGCCCUGACAGCCAAUAGAUGUCAGGGCAAGCUGGGAGUUGCAGUGGGGAAACAGCUGGAGGCACCCUGUAUAGGUGAACUAAGGGCGGAAGUGUCGGCCCCAGCAGGCAUCAGUGACAUGGUGCCUGCUGGGGAAGUCUGCCUGGUAGACACUACCAGGCAGACAAAAGGCAUUUUUAAUAUGUAAAAAAAAUUAAAGGCAGGGAGGGGGUUAGGGAUAGAUGGGUAAUAGGCAGGGACAUAAAAAAGAAAAAAGGUGAUGGUGGGAGCUACCCUUUAACUCCAUAUUAUUGUUUCUUUUAUCAUUUACAUAUUUUAAAGUGUAAAAUGGAUUCGGAACAUCUUCAGACCCUUUCGUUUUUUUUGUUUUUUUUAAAUGUUAUGUUGCGUCCUUUGUGCUAAAAAAAGAAAUAUAGUUUUCCCCAUUGUUCUGUACUCAAUACCCCAUAAUGACAAAGUGAAAACAAAAUGGUUAAAAAUCUUUGCUUAUUUAUUGAAAAGGAAAAAUGGAAAUAUUGCAUUGACAUGAUUAUUCAGACCCUUUACUCAGUUGAAAUAUCUUUGGCAGCGAUUACCUGUCUUUUUGAGUAUGAUGCCACAAGGGAUUUGUUUAUUGGUUUUUGCCAUUCUUCUCUGUAGAUCUACAAGCUCUUUCAGAUUAGAUGGGGACCAUCAAUACAGCCAUUUUCAGGUCUCUCCAGUGGUGUUCCAUUGGGCUCAAGUCAGGUCCAGAGAACUUUGGUUUAGGCUUUAAUCUGGUUUCUCACAGUCUUUUUUUUUUUUUUUUGCCAAACUCCAGGCACACUUUCAUGUGUCUCUUACUGAGAAGAAGUUUUAUUCUGGUCAUUUUGCAAUGAAGCCCGGAUUGGAGGAGUGUUGCAUUGAUGGUUGACCUUCUAGACAUUUCUCUCAUCUGCACCCAGGAUGCUUGAAGCUCAGCCAGAUUAACCAUUGGCUUCUUGGUCACCUCUCUUAUCAGUGCCUUUUCUCCUAAUUUCUUAGGGGGAGAUAUCAUUGUUCUCUUGGGAAAGUGUGUUUUGAAGCAAUUUAUUUUUGCUUUGGUUUUGCUUAUGUGCGACAUAUUUAUCAUACUAUGGAACAGGGGUUGAUAAAUUUGGCUCACAUAAUCAAAUAACAAUGGGGGAGAUUUAUCAAAACCUGCCCAAAGGUUUCCCAUGGCAACCAAUCAGAUUGCUUCUUUCAUUUUACAGAGGCCUUGUGCAAAAUGAAAGAAGUGACCUGAUUGGUUGGUAUGGGCAACUUUUCCUCUGGACAGGUUUUGAUAAAUCUCCCCCAAUAUGAUUUCUCCCUCCCCUUCUCUGCAAGUUUUCUGCAUGAAAAGUCGCAGUAGCGACUAUUUGGGUGACAUUUGCGCUUGAUAAAUCUGCUACCACUGCAAAGUGAAAAUUUAAAUAGAUAUUUGAAAUGUCAUUUGUAGCUUUUUGCUUACAGCCAAAAGUUGCACAAAAGUGCUUUGGCGCACGUGACAUUUCAUGCGCCAAAUAAAAGCAAAAAAAAAAUAAAAGUUCUUUAAAACAAUAAUUAAAUGUCCCCCUUAGUUUGGGGCAGCCAGCUCAAGGAAGAUUCCUGGAUGUUCCAAAGAAUAAUUGUAGCCACUGUGCUAUUGGGAGCUUUCAGUGCAGCUGAAAUGAAAUUUGUACCUUUCUUUAGAUAUCUGCCUCCACACAAUCCUGUUGUGCUCUACAGGCGGUUCUUUCCAACUCUUGGCUUGUUUUUUGCUCUGAUAUGGGUUGUCAGCUGUGAGAUCUUAUAUAGAUAGGGCUGUGUCUUUCCUGUCCAAUCUUUCCUGUCCAAUCAAUUUACCUCAGGUUACUCCAAUCAAGGUGUAGAAACAUCUCAGAGAUCAAGAGAAAUGGGAGGUCCCCCAGAAGUAAAUUUCAAGUGUCAUAAACAAAGGUCUUAAUAUUUAUGUCCAUGUGAAAUUUUAGUUUUUCUUAUAUAUUUGGAAACAUUUCUAAAAUUCUGUUUUCACAUUCUCAUUAUGGGACAGAUUGAUGAAUUAAUACUUUUUCCUCAACAAUACAAAGAAAUAAAAAGGGUCUGAAGACUUUCAGAAUGCAUUGUAUAUGAGGUAUAGAAGUUGAUGUAGUCAUUUGCCCAUAUAGCCAUUGUUAAUCAAAUACAAAAACAACUAUUUAUACCCAGAUGGACAGAAUUAUCAAUAAUAUUGCAGGCUUAAGUUCUGGCUGUAUGUAAACAUUGUUAUUAUGAGCAAUAUCUGUGAAACAUUGAUUAAAAUGUCUCUCAGCUUGU
Hyla sarda is the source of this 4097-nucleotide RNA transcript. It is a transcript of the gene named phosphodiesterase 6D, with no coding region annotated. The record is from RefSeq and is a predicted model, not a curated record. The transcript has 6 exons. NCBI's taxonomy places the organism in Eukaryota, Metazoa, Chordata, Amphibia, Anura, Hylidae.